This 758-nucleotide ribosomal RNA is filed under the name uncultured bacterium. RNAcentral describes it as "bacterial SSU rRNA". It matches the Rfam family "Bacterial small subunit ribosomal RNA", at positions 28 to 775 of the family's 1533-position model. The record is from RNAcentral.
AUUGAACGCUGGCGGCAGGCUUAACACAUGCAAGUCGAACGGUAACAGGAAGAAACUUGUUUCUUUGCUGACGAGUGGCGGACGGGUGAGUAAUGCUUGGGAAUCUGCCUUAUGGAGGGGGAUAACUAUGGGAAACUGUAGCUAAUACCGCGUAAUAUCUUCGGAUUAAAGUAUGGGAUCUUCGGACCAUAUGCCAUAGGAUGAGCCCAAGUGAGAUUAGGUAGUUGGUGGGGUAAAGGCCUACCAAGCUUACGAUCUCUAGCUGGUUUGAGAGGAUGACCAGCCACACUGGGACUGAGACACGGCCCAGACUCCUACGGGAGGCAGCAGUGGGGAAUAUUGCACAAUGGGGGGAACCCUGAUGCAGCCAUGCCGCGUGAAUGAAGAAGGCCUUAGGGUUGUAAAGUUCUUUCAUUAGUGAGAAAGGAGUUGUUUCUAAUAGGGGCAACUAUUGAUGUUAGCUAAAGAAGAAGCACCGGCUAACUCCGUGCCAGCAGCCGCGGUAAUACGGAGGGUGCGAGCGUUAAUCGGAAUGACUGGGCGUAAAGGGCACGCAGGCGGUUAUUUAAGUCAGAUGUGAAAGCCCCGAGCUUAACUUGGGAAUUGCAUUUGAUACUGGGUAACUAGAGUCCUCUAGGGAGGGGUAGAAUUCCAUGUGUAGCGGUGAAAUGCGUAGAGAUGUGGAGGAAUACCGAAGGCGAAGGCAGCCCCUUGGAGAGAGACUGACGCUCAUGUGCGAAAGCGUGGGUAGCAAACAG